GAGGGAAAGUUGAAAAGAACUUUGAAGAGAGAGUUCAAGAGUACGUGAAACCGUUUAGAGGUAAACGGAUGGGACCGCAAGGUUCCCCUCGGAAUUCAACCUUCCGCUCGGCCAUCGGCCUCGCGUCUCGAUCCGCAAGGACGAGCACGGGGUCGAGUGGUCGUCGGUGGGCGCACUUUCCGAGGGACUGUGGCCAGGACAGGUUUCCGGGCGUCCAUGAGGCCGUGGUUUCAGGUAGCCGUCUUCGGGCGGUGCUUAGGUUCCGCGGCUGGGCAGCGUCUGGUGACUGAGGAUCGACCGCCGCGGGGCGCGCGCCUUUCUCCUCGCAUCGGGUUCGACUGGAGUGGACUGUUCGCAGUGCUCGCCGACCGCCCGGCGCGUAGCGAGGGGGCCUCCGCGCUCCAGCUCAGGGUCUCUGGUCGUUUUCGUCGGCAUCCCAUCCGACCCGUCUUGAAACACGGACCAAGGAGUCUAACAUGUGUGCGAGUCACUGGGUGGCAAACCCAAAGGCGAAAUGAAAGUGAAGGUUGACUUUGGUCGGCCCAGGUGGGAUCACCGCGAGGUGCGCACCACCGGCCCGUCUCGAUCUCUACGCCAGAUGAGGCGGAGCAAGAGCAUACACGUUGGGACCCGAAA
This 636-nucleotide ribosomal RNA is filed under the name Samytha sexcirrata. RNAcentral describes it as "eukaryotic LSU rRNA". It matches the Rfam family "Eukaryotic large subunit ribosomal RNA", at positions 355 to 821 of the family's 3401-position model. Lineage: Eukaryota; Metazoa; Annelida; Polychaeta; Terebellida; Ampharetidae. The record is from RNAcentral.